CAGCCGCCGCGGUAAUACCGGCGGCCCGAGUGGCGGCCACUAUUAUUGGGCUUAAAGCGUCCGUAGCCGGGUUGGUUAGUCUCCCGGGAAAUCUGGCCGCUUAACGGUCAGAAUUCCGGGAGAUACUGCCAGCCUAGGGAACGGGAGAGGCCGAGGGGAUUCCCGGAGUAGGGGUGAAAUCCUAUAAUCCCGGGAGGACCACCUGUGGCGAAGGCGCUCGGCUGGAACGGGUCCGACGGUGAGAGACGAAGGCCAGGGGAGCAAACCGGAUUAGAUACCCGGGUAGUCCUGGCUGUAAACGAUGCGGACUUUGUGUCGGACAAGCUAUGAGCUUGUCCGGUGCCGGAGGGAAACCGUUAAGUCCGCCGCCUGGGGAGUACGGCCGCAAGGCUGAAACUUAAAGGAAUUGGCGGG
Molecule: ribosomal RNA, 414 nt
Filed under: uncultured microorganism
Description: bacterial SSU rRNA
Rfam family: Archaeal small subunit ribosomal RNA
Source: RNAcentral